CGUAAAUACGCAGACACAGAAGCAUGCGCCAGCCUUUAUCCAGUCAGUGACAUUCACCGAGCUGUCUGCAAAUACGGAUGCUAUUUUGUGCCAAGCGUUUGGUGGUCGGACGUGAGUAGGGCUUCCACAACAGCCAGCGCUCGAGGGGGCGGGACGUCAGCAUUGAGGUGAGAGCAGCGGCCAGCUGCUCAGCAUUAACAUCUCCCACCUGCCGCUGCCUUCCCAAUCAGGGGAGGUAUUUAGAAGUGGCCCUGAUGUGUCAUCCCUGCCGGAUUGUUAGUCUCGUUAUGAAGCGGCGCGCCGUCUUCACAACUCCGAGACGAAUUACAGGCGCUACGAACCGGAACAAGGCUAAGAUUUAAAGAAUAUGCUUUCAUUCUGCGGUAUAAGGGAAUAUAUACGUAUGGAUACCGA
Gasterosteus aculeatus aculeatus (three-spined stickleback) is the source of this 414-nucleotide long non-coding RNA. NCBI's taxonomy places the organism in Eukaryota, Metazoa, Chordata, Actinopteri, Perciformes, Gasterosteidae. The record is from Ensembl.